AUUACAGUUGAUCCUGAGGCCAAAUUUUGUGCAAAUCCUUCCACCAGUAGAUGUUGAAAUGUUUCAUUAAAGUCACAGAAUCACCAGAGUUGGUAGAAUUCAUCCUCUGAGCACCAUGAAUGUCUGUACCAAAUUCUGUGCUAAUCGGCCAGGAUUCUAAAACAGCAGGUAGGUGUUGACAUCUUUGACCUGCUGGUGGUGCUAUAUGAAGAGUCAGGGAAUCACCAAGGUCAGUAGGAUUCGUCCUCUGGGCGCCCUCUGUAUCUGUACCGAAGCCCAUGGCAAUAUGGUGGUUGAGGUAUUUUAGUCUGGACCGAAUUGUUGGACUGACCAAACGACUUGUUGGCGUGACUAAAAACACAUUGCACAUCUUCUUUGCAGGACACCGUACUUUAUUCACCAAACGUUUUCAGCUGUUUUGUCCUCAUUAGAGUGAAAGCAAAGCAAACAAACUACAGGACUGUGUGAUAAUUAAAAGAUAUGUAAUUAUGUCAUAAAUUCAAAAGCCAAACUGCCAUUAAAUCCAUCUGCCGAUUGUGAACUGCCAGGAAAGUGAUCUUGUCUAUAUUUACACAGGCACAUUUUGUCUUAAAAAAGCAUUGGACCUUUAGUUUGAGGUUACAGUGUCACUUUUUUAACAUUUAAAAUAAGCCCAACCACCUGACUUGGAAAGUACAAAGUGAGAGUUUGGUUCCCAGUACAGAACCCCAAGUUCCAAGUUAUAAUUGAAUGCAGAGUUUCCAUACUUUGAUUUGUUUCUGUGGGACCAGCCGAUUACCAGGAAUAAGGACUGUCAAUCUUAACACAGCCUCAAAGAAAGUUGCUUUUUCUUCGUGUUUACCAUCAGUAAUCAUCUUUUUACACACUGAGCAAGAUACACAAAUACACACAGACAAAUGGACUUGUGCUGCAGAUCAAACUCGGAUCUUUGGUGUGUUGCAGCGAUGCAAGUGGAGAAACAAACCUUCCAUGAAACCUAACGAAGCUUCAAGUGUACAUUUGUUACAAUAAAACCAGGUGGUAUUACUGUGCCAAAGCAUCUUCUGCACACGUUCAUUUCCCCAAUGCGAUGUCCUCGUCGCCCACUUAUCCCUGACCCUGCCUGUCUGAGGAACCAAUGGGCUCAGAGCUGAGAGCCACAGACGGAGGACGGAGGUCAGACACAAACUGCUGACGGCUGCAGGUGUCUUACCAGAGGCAGCAUGGCCGAGGCGCUGGGAGAAACCUGCCCUCUGUAGUGGUUAUGGAGCUCCACCAGCAGCUCCUCCUGCUCCUCACUCAGAAAGCUCCAGG
Long non-coding RNA from Lates calcarifer (barramundi perch), 1293 nucleotides. RefSeq lists it as uncharacterized. NCBI's taxonomy places the organism in Eukaryota, Metazoa, Chordata, Actinopteri, Centropomidae. The transcript has 4 exons. The record is from RefSeq and is a predicted model, not a curated record.